Ceratotherium simum simum (southern white rhinoceros) is the source of this 311-nucleotide non-coding RNA. The record is from RefSeq and is a predicted model, not a curated record. Lineage: Eukaryota; Metazoa; Chordata; Mammalia; Perissodactyla; Rhinocerotidae.
UGUCAUUCGGGUCUCUGCUUCAAUAUCACUUCUUCCAACAGGCUUUCCCUCUCUAUAGAAGCUAACACAGCCCCAUGGGUUACUUUCUUCAGAGAUUUUUCAUGACCUGCUAUUUCCUGGUUUACUUAUUUCUCCCUUCUAGAAGAUGAGGCAGCCAAGAAACAGAGAGGUCUAGUGAGCAGCUGAUUGUUACACAGCUGUAAGGUGGUGAAACUAGAAAAGGAUUGGCAGGGCACAGAGCUGUACCCCAAAGCUGUGGCCUGGGCUCCUCCAUCCAGCUGGACUGUCCCUCAAACACAGGACAGGCAAAA